CUGGGAAUUUUGCGCAAUGGGGGAAACCCUGACGCAGCAACGCCGCGUGGGUGAGGAAGGCCUUCGGGUCGUAAAGCCCUUUCAGCAGGGAAGAAACAAAUGACGGUACCUGCAGAAGAAGCACCGGCUAACUCCGUGCCAGCAGCCGCGGUAAUACGGAGGGUGCGAGCGUUAUUCGGAUUCACUGGGCGUAAAGCGCGCGUAGGCGGUUGGGUAAGUCUGAUGUGAAAGCCCUCGACUUAAUCGAGGAAGUGCAUUGGAUACUGCCUGACUAGAGUGCAGGAGAGGAAGAUGGAAUUCCCGGUGUAGAGGUGAAAUUCGUAGAUAUCGGGAGGAACAACAGAGGCGAAGGCGAUCUUCUGGACUGUAACUGACGCUGAGGCGCGAAAGCGUGGGGAGC
Molecule: ribosomal RNA, 400 nt
Filed under: uncultured bacterium
Lineage: Bacteria
Description: bacterial SSU rRNA
Rfam family: Bacterial small subunit ribosomal RNA
Source: RNAcentral